UAUUCUUAUUAUUAUAAUUUUCUUGUCUUUAAAGUUGUUCUUAAAAUAUUAUUUUUUAAAGUAGUUAUAAAUGAAUAAUUUUGGUUAAUUAUAGAUUAUUAAGUAUAUAGUUUUGAAUAUUUUAAAUCUAGGGAAUAAAUCUUAAUGUGGUGUACCUUUUGUAUCAGGGUUUAAAUAAAAAUUAUUUUAUAAAUUUGUCUCGAAUGAUUUAGAUUUAAUUAUUUAUAAUUGUUAAUGUUGAAUAAUUAAUAUUAAAUAGAUAGUUUGAAAUGAAAAGUUAGUCGUUAAGUCAUGAUUCUAGUUAUUAAAAAAAUUAAUUUAAUUAAGUGCAUAAGUGUAACAACAAAAUUAUUUUUAAAUUCUUUGCUUUGCAUAAAUUUAUAAGGAUUUUAUUUCUUAUAAUUUUUAUAUGAAUUUGUAUUAAUUAUUUUUCUAGAAUUAUUAUUGUUUAAGAUAAAUAGGUUUUUAUAAAAAAAAUAAUUUUAUAUUUUAUUUUUUAUUCGUUAAUUAAAUUAUUUAAUUAUAAUACAAAAUUUAUUGAUAUUAAAGAUUAUUUUAAAAUUAGUAAAUUUAAAAGUUUAGGUAUAGGAACUCGACAAAAAUAAUUCUCGCCUGUUUAUUAAAAACAUGUCUUUUUGUUAUUAUUUAAAGUCAAAUCUGCUCACUGAGGGGUUAAAGAGCCGCAGUAUACUGACUGUGCAAAGGUAGCAUAAUCAAUAGCUUUUUAAUUGAGAGCUUGUAUGAAAGAUUAGACGAAGUAUUUAUUUUCUUUACUUUAGUAAAUUGAAUUUUAAUUUUAAGUGAAAAUGCUUAAAUGAUAUUAAAAGACGAGAAGACCCUAUAGAUUUUUAUUAUUUAAACAAUUUUUAUAAGUUUAAUUGCAAAAAUAAUUUAAUUGGGGCGAUUUUGUAAUACAAAAAACUUAAUUUUUUGUAACCAUUAAUUAUUGAAUUUUUUGAUCUAAAAUUUUUAAAAGAAAGACUAAAUUACCUUAGGGAUAACAGCGUAAUUUUAUUUAAGAGUUCGUAUCUAUAAUAAAGUUUGCGACCUCGAUGUUGAAUUAAGAUAAUGUAUUGGAGUAGAAAUUAAUAUAAUUAGUCUGUUCGACUAUUAAAUUCUUACAUGAUUUGAGUUUAGACCGGCGUGAGCCAGGUCAGUUUCUAUCUUUAAUCUUGUUAUUUUAAAUAAGUACGAAAGGACAAUUUAAAAUUAAAAAUUAAUUUUUUUUGAAUAAAAUU
Molecule: ribosomal RNA, 1238 nt
Filed under: Amphigerontia montivaga
Lineage: Eukaryota; Metazoa; Arthropoda; Insecta; Psocodea; Psocidae
Description: 16S ribosomal RNA
Rfam family: Archaeal large subunit ribosomal RNA (bases 997-1155)
Source: RNAcentral